GACGUAGGGGGCCAGCGUUGCUCGGAAUUACUGGGCGUAAAGGGUCCGUAGGCGGUGCGGUAAGUCGGGAGUGAAAUCUCUGGGCUUAACUCAGAGGCUGCUUCCGAAACUACCGUGCUAGAGUGCGAGAGAGGCAAGUGGAAUUGCGGGUGUAGCGGUGAAAUGCGUAGAUAUCCGCAGGAACAUCCGAGGCGAAAGCGGCUUGCUGGAUCGCAACUGACGCUGAGGGACGAAAGUUAGGGGAGCAAACAGG
Molecule: ribosomal RNA, 253 nt
Filed under: uncultured bacterium
Lineage: Bacteria
Description: partial 16S ribosomal RNA
Rfam family: Bacterial small subunit ribosomal RNA
Source: RNAcentral